GUCAAUAAUAGAGUUGGAAACUUCUACUAUNAAAAAAAGGAAUCAAAUUACUCUAUUCAACUGACAAGAUGAACAUCAUGACAAGCAUUUCAUGCUUUCUACUUGUUGUCUCUUUCCUACCCUGGAGUUCUGGUCAGUUUCCUAGAGUUUGUACAAACCUUGAAAGNUUGAAAACCAAGACAUGUUGUCCAAUUCCAAAGGGUUUUACUGAACCAUGUGGCAGCGAUGAAUACAGAGGAAGCUGUGAGGAACUGAUAAUUCGUGAUUGGAAUUACACCUACAGCCACUUUGAACCCUUCCAGAAGGAUGACGAACGUCACAAUUGGCCGCGAGCUCUGUACGUGAAAGCAUGCAAAUGUAACGGUAACUUUGGUGGUUACGAUUGCAGUAAGUGUGAGUUUGGCUACGGUGGCAGUAGCUGUCAGAAUAUUAAAAUCUUGAAACGGAGAAACUUUCUUAAGCUGUCUGCUGAGGAAAAAGAUCGUUACAUGCGAUAUGUCAACGAGUCUAAAUACUAUAUAAGCGACUAUGUCGUUACUAAAAACUUUUACCACGAAAUCAGUGAAGUAGUGAAAGCGGGUAAAGAUCCCAGUGGGCUCUUUUAUAAUGUUAGCAACUAUGAUCUAUUUACAUGGAUGCAUUAUUACACGGCACGAGACACUAUAUAUCCUCACAAUGUCACGCGGUCUGAUAUAGACUUUGCACAUGAUGGGCAAGGAUUUCUUACUUGGCAUCGACUGUAUUUGCUUGCAUGGGAGCGAACAUUACAGGAAAUUGCGAAGGAUGACGAGUUUGCUCUUCCAUAUUGGGAUUGGACUNAAGAUCCAAACGAUUGCAGUUNCGAAAUCUGCUCUAAGGAUCUACUUGGAGUUACCAACCAGUACUCAGGGGUCGUCGAAGGGAAAUACAUGGACAAAUGGUACGUAAUUUGUACCAGAGAAAUGACANACUUCCUUACAAAGCUUUGUAAUCCUAAAGACAGAAANACUGGCCUUACCAGGAACACAGAAAAUGCCAAAAAGAAAGCGGCCAAGGACCGAGGGUUCGUUAUGACUUACCCAACGAACGAGGAGGUAAACUUUGCACUUCGAUUUGGGUCGUAUGACGUACCUCCUUNUGAUAAACAGUCCAGCUGCAAUUUCAGAAAUAUGGUGGAGGGCUACGUCAGCACCAAAACAGGCUACCACCUUCCAAAUAGAUUCACCUUNCAUAACCAGGUGCACAUUGUUACUGGUGGAGAGAUGGGAGAUGUUCCUUCAGCAUCGAAUGACCCUAUCUUUCCUCUUCAUCACUCAUUCGUGGAUCGUAUAUACGAGAAGUGGCUUCGCAAGUUUAAGAAAACUGCUUCAGUUCUUUCAAAGUUCGACGCACCAAUUGGCCACAACAAAUAUGACGUCAUUGUGCCAUUGUUUCCUGUUUACACUCAUCAGGAAAUGUUCAAGAGAUCUGUUGAUUUCGGCUAUGAUUAUGAAGAUGUUGACGAGAANGGCAAUUCUCAUGAAGACAAGAGAGGUGACGAUUCUUCACUUGGAGAAUGCCCAGUACCUUGUCCUAAAAAAGAGUGACCGGCAAAUGCUUGAUUGGGCUCCUAUAANGCUGACUAUAGCUUUAUGGCAAUCACUUUUGCUGAUUGAGUAGCUGGGAUAGUUCAAAACGGUAUGUUUUCAAGUUUCAAUGAAAAGAGAUA
RNAcentral lists this unclassified non-coding RNA (1687 nucleotides) under Exaiptasia diaphana. RNAcentral describes it as "tyrosinase, transcript variant X1". Lineage: Eukaryota; Metazoa; Cnidaria; Anthozoa; Actiniaria; Aiptasiidae. The record is from RNAcentral.